This 251-nucleotide ribosomal RNA is filed under the name uncultured bacterium. RNAcentral's name for it is "partial 16S ribosomal RNA". It matches the Rfam family "Bacterial small subunit ribosomal RNA", at positions 524 to 774 of the family's 1533-position model. The record is from RNAcentral.
UACGUAGGGUGCGAGCGUUGUUCGGAAUUACUGGGCGUAAAGGGCUCGUAGGCGGCCAACUAAGUCAGACGUGAAAUCCCUCGGCUUAACCGGGGAACUGCGUCUGAUACUGGAUGGCUUGAGUUUGGGAGAGGGAUGCGGAAUUCCAGGUGUAGCGGUGAAAUGCGUAGAUAUCUGGAGGAACACCGGUGGCGAAGGCGGCAUCCUGGACCAACACUGACGCUGAGGAGCGAAAGCCAGGGGAGCAAAGC